This is a long non-coding RNA of Larimichthys crocea (large yellow croaker), 466 nucleotides long. RefSeq lists it as uncharacterized. Lineage: Eukaryota; Metazoa; Chordata; Actinopteri; Sciaenidae. The transcript is spliced from 4 exons. The record is from RefSeq and is a predicted model, not a curated record.
UGAGUUGGCGCUCAAACAUGGCGUCACCUCCGCUAUAAAUACCUCCCUCCUCCUCCGUCACAUCCUCUUUCCGUUGCUCUUCUCGCUCCGAGGAACUUCUCCACGAUGAGAGCCAAGUGGAGGAAGAAGCGUAUGCGCAGGCUGAAGCGUAAAAGGAGAAAGAUGAGGCAGAGGUCAAAGUAAGCCCUCAUCCCCCUCGCCAGCUGUGAUCCCGUCAGAGCCUCUUCAGACGACUGACGCAUGCGGCUGAAGUGGACCGUGGAUCCAUCCGUGGGGUAAAGGCCUCAAACCUGACUUCAGAUGACCGCGUCUCAUGGAGCCGACUGUCUGUCUGACGGAAGACGGCAACGACGCUGGACAGAUCUCAACAUCAGAACUGCAGCUGCUGUUCAUGGACCAUAAUACAUACGUUAACCAACAACUGUCAUGUGGUGUAUUGAACAAUAAAUGAACACUGUUAAAGUUU